UGGGGAAUAUUGGACAAUGGGCGAAAGCCUGAUCCAGCCAUGCCGCGUGUGUGAAGAAGGUCUUAUGGUUGUAAAGCACUUUAAGCGAGGAGGAGGGUACUGGUAUUAAUACUACCAGCUACUGGACGUUACUCGCAGAAUAAGCACCGGCUAACUCUGUGCCAGCAGCCGCGGUAAUACAGAGGGUGCGAGCGUUAAUCGGAUUUACUGGGCGUAAAGCGUGCGUAGGCGGCUAAUUGAGUCGGAUGUGAAAUCCCCGAGCUUAACUUGGGAAUUGCAUUCGAUACUGGUUAGCUAGAGUGUGGGAGAGGAUGGUAGAAUUCCAGGUGUAGCGGUGAAAUGCGUAGAGAUCUGGAGGAAUACCGAUGGCGAAGGCAGCCAUCUGGCCUAACACUGACGCUGAGGUACGAAAGCAUGGGGAGCAAACAGG
Molecule: ribosomal RNA, 430 nt
Filed under: Pseudomonadota bacterium
Lineage: Bacteria; Pseudomonadati; Pseudomonadota
Description: Proteobacteria bacterium partial 16S ribosomal RNA
Rfam family: Bacterial small subunit ribosomal RNA
Source: RNAcentral